UACGGAGGGUGCGAGCGUUGUCCGGAAUCACUGGGCGUAAAGGGCGCGUAGGUGGCGCGGGAAGUCAACGGUGAAAGUUCGGGGCUCAACCCUGAAUCGGCCGUCGAUACUCCCGGGCUCGAGCACUGUAGAGGCAGAUGGAAUUCCGGGUGUAGCGGUGGAAUGCGUAGAGAUCCGGAAGAACACCGGUGGCGAAGGCGGUCCGCUGGGCAGUUGCUGACACUGAUGCGCGACAGCGUGGGGAGCAAACAGG
This 253-nucleotide ribosomal RNA is filed under the name uncultured bacterium. RNAcentral describes it as "partial 16S ribosomal RNA". It matches the Rfam family "Bacterial small subunit ribosomal RNA", at positions 524 to 776 of the family's 1533-position model. The record is from RNAcentral.